AUCCCCCCUCCAUUGCAUUCACAGCACCAGAAGGGACAAAGGAAGCAUUCAUUGAACGCUGAGUGAAGGGGUCAUGACCUAAUAAGUUUGGUCAGUAAGACUGCUGAAUUGUGGUGUGACUUCUUCUUCGUUCAUACAUCAGAAGACAGACAGUUAAGAAGCCUUUAUCAUUUCUUCUAGAGCAGGAGCUGGAUUAAAGUACUCUGUGGGUUUGCUUGGCAAGAUUAAAGUUUUCCUCAGAAAAGAAUGGUGAUAAAAGCCUUGACAUGCUUUCCCCAUGGAAAAGAUGUUUCUAUCAAGCAGAUGGGUGGAUAUUCCUCAAUCUUUCUAAUACGAAUUAAUGGAAAUUAAAAAAGGAUUUAUUGACUGAUGGCAGAUGGCUGGAGGAUUUUGUGGAGGUGCAUCUUGUGUAAAUUACAGCAACAGCAUACUCAACCUCUUGCUGUGGAUGAAAGGCCACAUCUUCCCCACAUCUCUGCCCACAGCUUCCAUUCUGUUCUGCUAUACCAGUCCAUUCCUCUCCCUCCCUUGCUUUGGAAACACACAGCCCAAGAAGAGAAUCAAGUUUGUUGCUUUCCAAUAUCUGAACAUUCUCCUGAUCCUCUUUGCUCUGGCUUUGUGAGUCACAUUGAGUCUGGGUGGACUCAUAAGUGAGUGCACCGACUGAGACAGGGCAAUGGGCUGGCAAUUUGAAGGUGUGCAACACUCCAACUACUGGCAGGCUUAUAGGGAAAUGAGGCACAGGGAGUAAAAACAGGCCAAACUAAUUCCCACAUUGCUUUCAGCAUGGCAUAAAUCUCCCUCAAGCCUCUGGCUGAGUCUUGGGAGUUCUGUAAAUAGCACUGUCAUGCUGGGCUGAACAUGCCAGAUAUGGAGACAACUGAGAUGCAGAAUUUAGGGUGCUACUCCCCUUGUGGCUGUACUGAUAUUAGGUCAAAGCCCAAUGUGUCCUUCAGUCAGAGCAGCUGAUGCACUACCAGGAAAUUUUAAUUUGUUUUUGGACAACUAUUCUUGAAGCUUGGUUAUUUGCAUUCCUGUUGUCUUUCCACAACCCCAUGUACUGGUAGUUAUGACCCCCUGUAUCCAUGUACCUCCUGCCCAAAGGCACCCCAUGAGAUAGGACCUCCCACAACUCCUGUGCAGGGUGAGACAGGCCAAUCUGGGAUCCACUCAACUACUUCUCAGAUGAAGCAAAUGGCACCAGUAGCAACCCUCGCCUCAUCGGGAGGGAACCCCCCCAACUGUGGAGGCAGAGGAGAGAGAUCCAGGUCAGGCUGGUCUUCCUUCUGAACAAUGUAUAGACCCAGAAGCUGGAAUCGGCACUCCAUCCCUUACUCUGGGAAAUCAAUCUUCCUGCUACUGCUGGCUAAAGGUUGUUGGUCCUGAAACUCAAGUAUUAGCAGCCUAUCUUGUAGUACUGUACAUGUGGGGUUCAAACCAUGCUGAUUCUUGAUGGGUGUCAAUUGCACAUAAUAGGACUUGUUUCCUUUUUCCAUUUUGAAACAUAGGAAAUUACACACAAACUAUAUAACAAAGUUAUUUAGGUUAGGAAGUCAAGCACUCAAAAGUUAGGAAAACCAGAUUUAAUGUUGUCUGUAGAGCAUUAAUUCUGAUCACUUGUGCAAAUGCAUUAUGAAACAGACUUUAGUUAUAACCUAUUUUUCCCACUUUUUCAGCACACAAUUUGGCACAUGAGCAGGAUGAAUUAAGAUUGUUUAAGCAACCAUAAAUCUGGCAUUUCCUAACUUUCAAGUUUUUGACUUCACAAGAAUGUUUUAUUUUAACUUAGAUUUUUUUUGUCUGUAACUAUAUUAUAAAAACAUUCAGAG
Dermochelys coriacea (leatherback sea turtle) is the source of this 1829-nucleotide long non-coding RNA. RefSeq lists it as uncharacterized. Lineage: Eukaryota; Metazoa; Chordata; Testudines; Dermochelyidae. The transcript has 4 exons. The record is from RefSeq and is a predicted model, not a curated record.